Long non-coding RNA from Meriones unguiculatus (Mongolian gerbil), 19819 nucleotides. RefSeq lists it as uncharacterized. The record is from RefSeq and is a predicted model, not a curated record. The transcript has 2 exons. Lineage: Eukaryota; Metazoa; Chordata; Mammalia; Rodentia; Muridae.
CAGCACUAGAGAGGAGGAGGCAGGAGGACUGCCACCAACUCUGGCCCGGUACGGGCAAGUGUGAGACCCUUUUUAAAAAUAAAUAAGGGGGAAGGGAAAGACUGAUAGGGAGGCCUUGGCGAAGGGUGAGGGGCAGGAACCUACGCGGCCUAAGAACCAAGCGAAGCAGCCGCCGGGAAGCGAGCCAGCGCUUGCCACAUAAUCAACCUCUGUAGCGCGGGUCACAUGAGAGUCACCAGUUUUCCGGGAACGGGGGAGGGUGCAGUCGAAGCCCGGCCCGCCUGCAGAUUCCAUCUGCCAGGGGCAAGGGAACAUUCCCCAUCCCCCAGCUCCCCUCUAGGUUGCUAAGGGAGGCUCUCGACACUGGGUGGUUUUGUUUGCCGUGUGGGCGGUGAGCCCGGGAGACUGCGGGGCAGUCAUUCUGCCAACUGCCUUUCUCAUUCGGCUUCCUUGAACUGUACUUCUACUUUUUUCUCUUUUCUUUUUUGGGAGCGGUGGCGGCGGAGGUAGGCGGCUCUAGAGCCUAAGAAAGGCCUCACAGUGGUGGUAGGGGGCUUUCAGGCUGUCCAGGCCCCGCACUGGCACCAGCGGUGACAAUUCCCCUUUUGAAAACCCUCCCCAAACCUCUGGCCCCUCCCCGCUGAGCUCGGGGAAAACGCAGAGGUUUGCGGACAAGGUGUCCUUUUGGCCGGGCCCCACCCCGCGUGGACAACCAGCCUGGCUCCCCCAAUGGUCGUUCAACCCGGCCCCCACCACAGGCCAGAAGCUGUCGCAGGGAAAUGGGGCUUUAAAAUACCACUCUUCUCGCCAUCCCGCACCCGAAAGCAAAAAGAUUAGAAAAAAAAAAAAACAACACCCCACUUUUCUGGGCUGGGCGUCCUCUGCAACCACACACAAAUUCGCAGACUCAUUUCACACGCCUGAGCUUCGUACUAAAACCUUGCAACCGCCUUUCUUCUAACCCCACUGACUACCUCGGACGCAGGUCCAGAGUCCCACUCCCCCAUCCGUGGACCGGGGAAGGGGCCUGGGAGGAGAAGGGAGGGUUGGGAAGGGAUGAGGAAGAGGCGGCAGCUGGGAUACAGGGCGAGUAAGCAGUAAUAAAUAAAUAAAUUCAUUAACAGCGCCCCACCCUAGCUGCUGAGCCGGUCCUCCCCCACCCGACCCUGCGGGCGCCCGCGCUGACGUCACCCUCCGAGCAGGCGGCGGCAACGCCCGAGGAGUCACGCGCCCGGGCGCGCCCCGCCCCGGCGGCGGACGCGCCUCUGCAGAGAUCCCUCCGCCACCCGGUGGAAUUUUCCAGGCGCCCUGCCGGCCCUUCUUUCGGGCCCCCGCGGGGCGUGGUGACCUGCAGCGACUGGUAUUUUUCCUUCCGCCCUGAGUCAGUGUGCUCCCCUCCCCCAGCCCCCCGCCCCGGUCGGGCCUGCCCACCCCAGACAGCGAAGGGCGUUUGUCCCUGACGGUAUUCACCUCCCGGAUACCAUCUUCGGGAAUGUCCUUCGUCCCCUGACGCCCUGCCAAAGGGGCGAGAAAGGCUCGAUGAGCCAUCUGAGGGAGUGGCCGUCGAUGGAGGCCACGACCCCGCCCCUCGUGGGCUGCCUUGGCUAGGUCGGGGAGGAACUUUUUUUUAAGUGUCCGUGGAGGAAUCGUUCCGUUGAGUAAUGCCCGGGUGACGCGACCCAAGACUAUAAAAGCAAAAGUUGUGUCCCCCCACCUGCAGGAGUUAGUGACAGGAAGGGCUGGCGCUUGGCUGAGUGGUGGGGAGGAGGUGGCUAGUUGAGGGCUCAGAGAAGAGAUGGCAGAGUUAGGGGCAGCCACUAGGGUUGGGGUGCGAGAAGGGAAGCUAGCUAAAAAGGGGGCUAGUGUUUGGGACAGUGGACCAGUGGAAGGCAGCUUCCGUAGCGCCUUCCACGAUCCACACAGGGACAACAGCCUUCGAGACCAGGCUGUCCCUGGGGUCUUGGAGCGGGGCCACUUGACCCCCAGGAAGGCACAGUUUCACGGGCUUACCUAGCCCACUGCCUAGCUUGAAUUGAGUGGCAGAGUAGAAAGUCUGGAGACGGGUGGACCCGGGCCCUCGAGGCCUUGGACAGGAAAGGCAGGCAGUGGGGGCAGAGCUAGGCGGGCCGUGGGUCGGCCUCGACCUUGGCGAGACCAGCAGACUCCUUAUUUUCCAGAUGAGGGGUUGUGUCCCUGCGUGGGGAUGAGGCCUGGUCUAACGGAAAGUGGACUUAGCUUCGCUGGGCACACAGCUGUGGCCCACGGUGGUAUGUAACUUGGGCUUGGCCUGACAACACCCAGUUCUGGGUGAGAGGAGUGGGCUGUAGAGGCGAGUUGUCUUUACUCGACAGGUAGGCCAGGCCCAGGGACGGCUGAGAUGGAGGGCGCGCGUCUUGGGCUGUAUUGACCACAGAUUUAUUUUUCAGAUCGCACUGCUCCCCUCUGGACUUCCCCUAGGUCCCGUGGUUCCUUGAUCGCACCUACUCCCCUCUGGACUUCCCUAGGUCCCGUGGUUCCCUCUUCUGUGAUCUCCCUCUUGCCCUACUGUUCCCUCUAACCCUGAGGUUAAGGAUUCACUUAAAACCUUGGCCUCUGGGUUAUCUGGUAAGCCUCGGGAAGGUGUAGAUCGGUGUCACAGGCUCGGACUCUGGUGCUUUGGUAUUCACUGGUAAAAGUGCAGGGUACCCUGACCGGGUGGGGAGGGUUGGGGCUUGAGCCUUGGGUGGGUGACGGCUGUGCGGUCACCAAAUGCCUCAUGGAUGUGGUUUAUUGCUAUAGUGUUCAUCAUGCCAAGCAGAUGGCACCAGGAGGAAUGGAGCCCCUGCCAGUGUGAGUCGUAGCAGUGCAGGAGGGCAGACCCUGGCGGAGACAUCGGCCUAAGUUGAUGCCCUACACAGUGAAUUCCAGAGGCUUAGGAGGUUCCGCUCCGCCAUGUGUCCAGGCCUGGUUCAGGAGGCCAACGUUUUAAGUUCAGAUCAGCUUUCGGGGGGGGGGCGGGCAGAGGCUUCCAGCUGGAGGGGCUGUCGGCUGUGAAUGUUCUGGGAGCACCAUUCUCCGGAUUCGGGAAUGCCAGCGGCACCCCCCUCUCCUGGGGGGGAGAGGCGUUCAUUCGGCUGCUGCAUCUUCUAAACCAAGCCUCCAGUCUUGCUAGUUCUGUGCUACAAACUUGGCUUCGAGAAGAUUCCUGGGGUGUAGGACACUGGCUUGAUGUCCUCCGAGAAGCGUGCCUUGUAGAUGGAGUCCGGGGACCACACCCAUCUUCCCCGCUUCUGCAGCCGGCCUCCUCUGCCUCGGUCAGAGGACUUCUUAGUGUGAUAAAACUUUUGGGUGUUGGGGAAACCUGUUCACUUACAAAUGACUUUGGGGAAGGGUAUUCUGUGGAGCCAAUUGUUAACUUGUAUGGGGGGAGCACAAACUGUCCAAGUUCUGUUGGGAUUUGUAGAUGGCGUAUCUAACUUUGGGUGGCAUCUGGUGCUGGAAGGGAAUGGUGGGCCUGCAGUGGUCCCUGGGGAUUUGAUGUCCUGUGGGUUUGGGUUUGGCGCUGGGUGGUAGGCAAGUGCUACCCAAACUUAUAACCUAGUUCUUGAUUCCUUUUGUUGGCUGGUUCUCCUGACUCGGCCUGGUGGCUGGCCUGGGUUCUCAACCCUGCUGGGGUUACAGGGGUCAUCUAAAACUUGUCCUUCUGGCUUAAGCUUGUACUGGAUCAGGCUUUUGGGAAUACUGUUACCAGAGGUGGGACUGGCUGUGCUUGGCACUGGUGUUGGCCAGAGGCUUGAUGGAGGAGUGGGGUGCUGGCAGGGGUGUGCUUGGAAAUGUGGGUCGAUGGGGGUAACAGUCUAGGAACUAAAUAGCACUCAUAGAAGGUAAAUCCGGAACAAGGGGGAACGAAUCCUUGGUGUCCUAGUGGCGGUGGCUUGGAAACUAUCGAAAUCCAAAGACUCAAAUCCAAGAGGAAAAGCAAAAUUGUUUUGCUUUGCUGUUGAAUGGGGAAUAACUGAAGUUGUGUCUGAAAACAUUUUUAUAAUUACUUGAACGAUCUUGUCAAACUCAAGAGUACACAAACAUGCCAACCUAUGGGGGCAGCUGGAAAGGGUUGCUGGGAAGCGGUUUCCAAGGAUUAAAGGGGGAGGGCUUGUGAAUGCCCACAUUGUGGGCUCUUGAAAAACCUUUGUGCUGGUUCUCCUGCGGGCUUAUCGGAUACUGUGUUAUUGGAGAUUCUAAUGCUAUCUAAAUGAAUUUGGGCGUCAUGCAUCCAUUUACAACACAUACAGGAACAUAUUGUGCAAGUCAUGCGUUACACAACACAGGAAUGUAGUGUGAGCCAUGCCUUACGAAACACAUCUUGAAUUUCUGGAACUGGCUGGGAGACAGCAGCGUUUGCACACUUGCGUCACUGUGACAAGGGGACGUGGUCUUGCGUUUAUGGGAUCACUGUUUGGAAACCUGUUCCGUGCACCUGUGCCUUUGCCAUGAAUCAUUGUGCUUUGGUUUGAAAGGCACUUUUUAACCCAUCCUCGACCAGAGGAGGAAACUAAUCAGUUCGGGAAAUAAAAAUAAAACUGGGGAGGGCCCACCUGACUAGAGGAUGAUUUGCAGAGAUUGACUCUGAAAACCGUGUUCAGUGGUAAAGCGACAGCCAGUGGCUUUUGUGUUGUCUCUUAGAAUCCAGCCUCCAGUGCUGCUUGCCGGGGCCUUGUCUUCUGGGUUGGUGGUUUUGUGAUUGCUUUGUGUGGGUGUUUGAAAAGCCUGUGAGCAGGGAGGGCAUGAUGACUGUCGUUGGAACAGCCAGGUGUUGGUCUCAUUGGAACAGGGAGGUGUGAAGAGCUGUACCGGGUCAGCAGCACCUGCUUGUCUGUACUGGAGUGUUCAGUGUGUAGCCACUAAUCACUUUCUCCCCUUAACAGCAAAAUAAAGGUUUGCGAUUGAAGCUCCUUAGAAUUGUCAUGGCUGUUACAUCCUCGACCUCGGUCACAUCCCUGUUGUAGUUAGGCCUAGGUUCACUGCAGUUAAGAGCAGGUAACCUGGUCUAGACCAGCCGAGAGGGAGGGGCUGGGAGUGGUUGCAGGCAAGAGCCACAGCACACAGGGUAAUGCUGAGUGUCCAGGUAAGGCAGUACAUAAUCCAGGACACUCCCAGGUUGUGUUUAAAUGUUUUGGGUUGGGGAAAGCCAUCUAAAUGGUACUGUGGUAGCUUUUCAUAUUUUCACUCUUGGAAGCUGGCAUGGGCUUGAUUUGGGUCUGAACAUGUAGUUCUCCUGGGCUUGUUUGUGCUGGUGCGUGACUAAGGUUUUUACUGUGGGGAGGGUGUAGGCAGAAUCCUUUGGAAUUCAGGGAGUGGGUCAUUCCUGGCAACAGUCCUGGGUAGGAAUGUAACUGGGUGGUCAUGGGAGCCAGCCCGUACUGAAUGGGGCUGUGCUGUGUUAUUAAAACAGGGAAUGUUGCUUACACUUAAACAGAUUUUGGGCUUCGAACACUGCCAGCUCCUGCUAGGAUAGGAGCCUGCACGCUGAAAGCAAAGGUCAGCCUGUGGCUCUAGCGAACUGUUGUCUUGGCAAGGAUGGAGUAGGGUGGGGACCAGGCAGCGCUUGAGGAGCAGUCUCCCCUGCCGCAGGGGCUGGAGUGUGUAUUUUUCCUUGGUCCAUCAGUGACCUCACACUUGUGCUGAGAAGCCAGAAUGGGGUGUCCUGGAAGCUUUCUGUCUAGGCUUAUGGGACUACCGGGAGUAAGUGCUGCUGAAUAGAGGGGCCUUCUCUCUCCCCACACUUCAUUGUGGUAUUUUGAACGACAAGGUCUCACCAUGCAGCCCAGACUGGUGUGAAUUCUAAGACCCACAACAGCUUCCUCCAGUGCACGCCUGUCUACACACCCUCUUACUGUCUCUGGUCUGUCUCAGCCUCUUUCUGGUUUCUGCCCUUCAUCUUCCCGUGCCAGCAGGCUGGUAAGGAAUUCAUCCCCAGCUAUGUCAGAAAUGGCGGAAGCAGGCUACCCACUGUGCUGUCCCGUGACUUGUAGGAAUGUUGGUUUGGAUCUUCGAGUCAAACUCUUACCCUGUAGCCCAGGUUGGUACGGAACUCAGCAAUCAUCCCUCACCCUCCCAAAUGUUGGGCAUACAGAGGAGAGCCACAGUGUCCCUCAAAGACUGCUCUUGGCCCUCGGGUCAUUGGAUGGCUGUCUUACCGUGAGUGGGUUUAUUUGAACUCUCAGGCGGGAGUUCAUCUGGAAUGCAGCAGGGCUGAGGUCGAUCAUGUUAAGUGACCAAAAGAACCUUUAAUGUGGGCUAACCUGUGCAUUGCCAAGGAGCGCGAGUGGCAUCCAUGUCUUAGCCGUUGCUGAAGAGGAAAUGCAGGUACUUCUGACAAUAUUUGUAUAUCCAUCCCAAAAUAAGGAUGCAAAUGGGACUGUCCAGAGAAAGCCAAACUGGGAAGGAUUCAGGCGGAACGCAGAGCCUUCCCUUGCACAGGUGUCCUCCCACCGUCCCUGGUGAGGACAGCUGUCACCUUCCUCUUUUUUUCCCACAUCUCAAUAGUUCCUUACUGAGUUCUCAGCAGAAAAAGGAUUUACUAUGAUUUUUCAAAAAAGUAAAUGGGGUUAAAAAGUUCAUUUGUUCCAUUAACAAACAUUGUUGGCAUUUGUUUCAGAGAUUUUCUUUCCUUUGACAUCAGCUAUGUGUACUUUACAGCAAUGGUGGGAUUGUACCUCAGUUCUGUCUACAUCUGCUUUUCUAUGACACAGAGUGAGAUCUUUGUCAUGUCAUUCAAAGCAUCUUCUUAGUGGUACCAAAUGCUCUGUUACAUGACUAUUGAAACAGUCCCAUUUAGAUACUGACCUAUGUGAAGGUCAGAGGAUAACUUUCAGGAACUGGUUGUAGGGCUGAAAUUUGGGCCACCAGCUCACAGCAGGAAAUUUUCCCUGCUGGGAAGGCUCACCUUCCGACCUUCAGCUCUUUUCCUUUUGGGAAAUGAUUUAAAGACUUUUAGCUCAAACUUUACCAUAUGUAUUACUGUUUUGAGAUGCUGAAAAUCAGUUUCUAGGGGGAAAUGACUGUCAGUCCUCUUUAGGUUCAUAUUUCUCAGUUACUGUACAGAAGGGUUUUCUGAGCUACGGAUCUGUAUGCAUCUCUGAAGCUGGUGUGUGCACUCCCCAGAGUGGCGUGACCGGCCAGUGCACGGGUGAUUUUACAAUCCAGACUUUCCUUUGUGUGUAGAUCAUUUGUUCAUGUAGUUGUCAUCACAGAUUAUUUCCAUUUGUUUGACUGCUGCCCAACAUUAUGCACAGCAGAAAUCUCCACCGUUUAUAAGUGCCCUUUAGUGGUGUUCAGCUGACCUCCACACCCUGCAAAACCUGGAACUACCCAUCAGGCAACUUAAAGCCUGGGCUCUCUUCCCAGUCUUCUGCUUUAUGUCUCCGUGAGUGACUGUUCCGGGUGCCACAUGUAUGUAGAAUCAUACAGUGUUUACCUUUUAUUUAUAGUGCAUAGGAAUGUGUGUAGUCAGGACAGUCCGAGGGAGGAUCCCAGGGGUCAACCUCAAAUGAUCAGGUUUACACCACCAGCAGCUUUACCCACCAAAACCCACUGUCUAUCCUGUUGACUGGUCGUUUUGCUUACACGACAUCAUCAUAGGUCAUCCUGGUUGUGUGAUUUUCUUUGCUCACAAGCCAAGUAAUUGGUCCUUUGUGUGUUUUCCCCUCUCUGCGUGCUGAUGAGCAGCCCUUGCAUUGCUGCUGCCCUCCGACUUGCUCUUGAGACUUCCAUGCUGUGGGACGGACACAGCUACGUCUUUCUGAGACUGCAUUUUUCAGCUAUUCAGGGUGCAGCACAGCCGUCCUGAUGGACGCAAGACGACAUUCACUGGUCUUCCGUGUGCUUGUCAACCAUGCAGACUUCACGGGGAAAUGUCAACUCAAGUGCUUUUCUUGUUUAAAGGGUUAUGGGUUUGUCACCAUUGUUGACCUGCAGGAUUUGUCUGAAUAUAAUUUGGCAUUUUUUCUUCACUCCAUAAAGUUGCCUUUUGUUGAUUUUUUUUUUUUUUUAUGGUCACACAUACUUGUGUUUUUGUGUGUUUGUGCACGAAUCUGCUCAUACAGUGCUGUGCUUGUGCUGUAGCACUCCUGAAGGUCAGAGGACAACUUUCGGGAGUCAGUCUUUUCAUCCUGUGGACCUGAGUGAGGGCUUGAGCUCAGUAGCCUGUUAGGGUUUGCCAACAAGAACCGUUACCCAAAGCUCUGACAUUGAUAUGUGUUUGCUUUUGUUGCCUGCACUUUUGGUGUCAUUUCUAAGAAAUCCUUGGCAAAUUCAACAUGAUAAUGUUUGUAUUGUUCCUUCCUUGUUUAUUUUUGUUUCUAUAUUUUCCAUCUUUGGCCAUAAGGACUGCCAAUGUUUGGGAGGGCAAAGUUCUGACCAGUUAUAUCUAUCAAGUAUAUUUUCCUCUUAAUCGUUAAGAUGAACAUAUAUGAUGCACAAGGAAUUAAACUGUCAAAGUCUGACCGUAACUGAUAAAUUGGCUUGGAGUUGCUUCUUUUUUUUUUUUCUUCAGCUGCUCAUACCUGGCUUUGCUAUGUGGACACAAAUAUUCUCAUGCAGGUGAAUUUCUCCCAGCGCUAGGAAUGAUGGUAAGCUAUUGCUCUGGUUUUCCCAAUACCGGUCUCAUAAUUAUGUGUCUAAAGUAUUGGACGUUUUCAGGCUCUAGUUUUUUGCUUUUUCAAGUAAGAUAACAACCUUAACAAUUGUUACUUUUAAAUUCUGGCAGGAAGGCACUGUGACACUCCUUAAGUAGCCUCUGUCCCUUAUUGAAACUCGAAUGCACAGACUGAACUGACCGUCCUCGGCUCAUUGCGGCUCUUUUAUUGCUCCCGGUGCUCUUAUAGUUUGUCAGCAUGUCUGCCGACAUCAAUACAAAAACCAGGGCAGUAGGAAAGCAGCUUUCUCCUCCGGGCCUCGCUGCACCCACCUCUCAGGCUGCCGUCACAGUAAAACUCCUUACCCGAGUGAAUUUUUCAGAGCGUCCGUUCUUUUAGCUGUCUGUAACUCGGUAGAAAUGAAUCUCCUGAAAUCUUCUGGACCUUUUUUAAUUGGGUGGGAUUCAUCUCUUUGCUGUGUAGAGACUGUGUUGAUGCAGGUGGCAGGGUUGUUGUCUCUGUCUUCAUAGAGAAGUGCCUCAGACAGCCCAGACUGAGCACUCUCACAAUCCGGGGUCACCAAUGAUUACCAAUAAGUUGUGUCUUGCCAAUCUGCUCAGAUGUCUUUAUGGGAGCCUGCAUCGGUUGGCAGGAUCCCACUUAGCGGCAGGGCAUCCCGUGAACACACAGCUGCCCCUCUCUGACAGCGGGGAACCGACAGCUGGAAGGUGAGAUGGUCCUCAUAGGCAACCCCUUGUGCCUCCUCCUCCCCUCCCCCGCCGUGUCCGAGUGGGUCAGACAACUGCCGUGCCCUGCUUUGCUGCCCUCAAAUGACAAGUGGGCCUGUGUACCCCAGAGUCGGUGUUGGGAUGCCCUCUUAGGCACUUGGCAUGUGAGACUCCCCGUUCCUGCCAGUUGCGCUCUUGGCUCUGUCACACAGGCACAGGUACCCACGGAGACUACCUGCUAUGUUCUGUUCUUGUCAUCUGUGUGUAAACUCGGUAACUGGCUUAGUGACGAUAGGGACCCCAAGGUCUAAGACACAAGAAGGGAUAAUUGUUUAAUUACUCUGGCCUGGAUGUCCUUAAAGUAGCCCUUCUAAGGGGACACGGUUGUGCAGAUUGAGGCAGCCUGGCUGGGUAUAUGCUUCUGUAGGUACUGCUGUAGUGGACCGGGCUGUGUAGCACGACUGUGGAAACUUAGUCUUGAACUUGGAAGUUAAAUAGUGUUUGUCUUCCAUGACAGGUGCCAGUAUUUGUCCCUAAGACAUCUUCCCUUCGUGAAAUUAUCUAACAUUACCAGCUUUUUAAAUGGAAUCAUGUGUAUUGUUUUUGCAACUCUGUAAUUGGUUUUGUCAUGUAGAUGGUAAUUUUGACUCUUUGUCUUACUGAUGUCUUCAGGCAAUUUCCAGGGUUUUCUGGUCAUUGCAAGCGGGGUUUUACUCUUUGGGACACCACUUUGGGUAUCAGAGCCAGGCCUGAAAGAGGCAGAUGACUCCUGGCUGUAGCUCUAGGCUUUCACACAUGCUCUGGCUCCUCUAGUGUCUUGGACUGUCAGUUUUGUUCGGUAGAGUUUCUGCAGGCACAAUCAACUAAGUUUUGUUAGGGCUGGUCAUCCUGGCACUGCGUAUCCUUACCAGAACUUCUCAUUGGGUGAUGUUGUAUUGAUGAUGGAUUUUGAGUCUCUGGCAGUUUUCUGGUUUUUAUCUCAAGCAGGUUAAAAACAAAAGUCAAACCAGGCAUGAUAGUACACACCUGUCAUGCCAGCACUGGGACAGUGGAAGCAGGAGGAUCAGUAUUUAAGGCCAGUCUCUACAGCCUGGGCUGUAGAAAACCUUAUCUGAAAAAAAGCAAACUAUUUUAGGAAGGUGGCUGUGACGCCCAUGAAAGCUGCAUUGCUUGGUGCCUUCAAGAGCUUUCUAGAUCAAGGGUGCUCUAGCCCCUGGGCCACUAGUGCCAGGAGAACAGGUGUGAGCUCCCCCUGGCUCUUCCUUGCCUCUCUGGGUCCAGAAGAGUUGGACACUGUGAUGGGGCCAGCUUCUGCCUGGCACCCUCUUCCUCCCCAGAAGGUCAUGCUGGGCCUCUCCACUUUAGUGACCAGAAUACUGUCCCCUCUGCUGUCUGUAGGGCCCCACUGCAUGUCAGGAUGAGACCUUGCUUUACUCUCUGGUGCUAUCCUGCAAGUUUCCUCCAACUUUUGCUCCUUACAUACCCAGUGGUUGAAGUGACUCGUUCAUGUCAGAACUGCAGACACAGAGGUGGGCACUUGCUCUGUGCAGGCUGGCCACACCCUGUCGUGCAUUAGGGCCGUUUGGCUCACAGAACUGUAGCCGCCUUUGAACUGCUCACUGCUGCUCUGGGGAGCAACUGAGCUGUUGCUGAGGGCAUAUUACUAAGUAGUAAAUACCUACUUACAUGUGUCUUCAUGUGUGUAGACAAGUAUGUCUAUGGGGGAACUUGGAUGCCACUAGCUAGCCUUCUGGAAGAUGGUUCCAGUUGAUCUUUCCCCAACCUUGGCCAAUGCUUGCCCCUAAUGUUGGUUAUUUAUCAGUGUGAGAAGCGAAGUCAUUUUUAAUUAUAGUUUUGAUGGGUAUACUUUCUGAUUUAUAUGUAUUACUUUAUAUGUUAAGGAAAUUAACUAUAUUGCAAACUCUUGCUACUCCCUGACUUUUUAUAUUUUGUUGUUCAGCAUUUUAAAUAUGAAUGUACUUUUUUGUGUUUUUUUUUCUUGCUUUCUGCAUUUUAUGACUAGCUCAGAAAACUUGGUCUUAAUUCAAGACUAUUCUUUGAACCCCAUGCUUUGUCCCACUCCUUUUAAGGUUUUGCUUUUGUUUCUGUUGGUUCUAUCUGGACUUAAUUGUGGUGUAAUGGGUGAUGUGUGGACAGGAAGCCUUCUCUUGCUACACAGAAGUGGGCACUGGCUGGUGUGCGCCUGUAUCAGGCCAAGUCUGCGUGUUGCAGCUUGUGCUUUGAUAGAUGGUGAGGGCAAUCCUACCUCAGCUCAACUCUUCCUAAGUUUCCCAUGCUAUUCGUGUAUGGUUAUUUAACCUUCCUUGGUGUCUUGAUUUUCUUCCUAUGUGUGACUAAGGUUUGUCUUUCCAUUUUCUACCCGUGGCUCAGCCUAACCUGACUGAACUAUUUCUUACACGUCUGUUCAUACAGGUGCAGGAUGAAGACAGAGGACAUGAUUGGUUCUUUUCUUCCACCGCCCAGCUCUGGGGAGUGAGCUCAGGCUGGCAGAUUUGGCAGUGAGCACCCUCACCUGCUGAGCCAUCUCUGUGGCUUUGACUUUGUAUUAAAUCAAAAUGUAUGUGAUUAGGCCAGGUGUGGUAGCGCAGGACUUUAAUCCCAGCACCCAGGAACAGAGGGAGGCUCUGAGCUCAAGGACAGCCGGAGCUACACAGAGAAACUCUGUCUCAAAAAAAACAAAAAGAUAUGUGAUCACCAGUGUUAGCCUGUACAGUUGGAAGACCUCGGUUGGUCCAGCUCUGUGUCCUGUCCCUUUCCAAAACAGUUUGCUCUGUCACAGAAUACUUCCUGAAGCUUACACUUGUGGGGGGGAGGGGGAUUAUACAUACCAUGAGGCACACGGGGCGGUUACAGGACAACUUGCAGAUAAGCGUUCUCUCCUUCCGUUGUGUGGGUGGCAGGAAUGGAACUUAGGUUGGCAGGCUUGGUGGCAGGCCCUUGCUAAGCCAUCUCGGUGGCCCACAGAGCACUUCCGUGUAUUUAUUUUUGGUGGUUACUUAUUGCUGUCAUAUUGUCGGUUUGGUACCUUUGUCAUUGACGUGUCCCGUAACACACUGUUGUGAUAAAAAUGUCAAUGCGCUUAUACAAACCUAGUGAAUUCCACCCACAAGCCAGAUGUGGGUGGUGAUCCCAGUGCCUGGAGGGCAGAUCUCUGAGUUUGAGGGCAGCCUGGCCUGCAUAGUGAGUUUCUGGACAGCCAUGGCUACAUAGUCUCAACAACAACAGCAUACCUCUCUGAACAGUAAAAUUGUACCCAAGGUCACAGUCAGGGAAAGGACAUGAGGGCUGCUCUCUGAGGCCCUGCAUGAGGGUGGUCCCCUCAUGGGCAGUUCUGUAGACCUGGCCCUGGCAUGCCUGAAUGGAGUCAUGUUUUAGUGGCUGCUGUGUUCCAGUCUGACCUGCUUUUUCCCCGUCCCAGCUUUCUAGACCUUUGAAGGAGGCGGUAUUUAAUUCCUGUUUUGGUUGGUGUGUUUACUGAUUUAUAAUGCUCUUUGUUUACAUAUUUUGAUGUUUGGUGUUUCAAAUAUUAAGAAAAAAACCUCAUUACUGUUAAUUUUUUUCUUGCUUUCUGCAUUCUGUGAGCUCAGAAAGUUUGGUCUAAUUUAAGAUUAUUCUUUGAGGUCCAUGUUUUGUCCCACUCUGUCUCUGUCUGGACUUACCUUGCUGUGAUGAGCAAGGAAGUAAGCCUGUUGUGGCCCCCCAUUUACUGAGUAAUUCUGGACAAAAUGGACCGAGUGUCUGGACAGGGACCAUGUGGUUCCCUAGGGCAACCCAUCUUCCUCCCCAAGCCCGCUGUGUGGCCACCUCAGAGACGCGCAGCAGCUUUGUAGUGCGUCUCUGUCUGCUUGAGAUGUUUCCUGGCUUACUGUUGGGAAAGAGCAAGGACAAGUUCUUUCUCAGGAGAGAACUUUCUGGUCCAGAAUUUAGAACUGGCAAACCCUGAAACUGUAGAUGUCAGGUGUGUUCCCUGUGGAUGAGGUCCAGCCGUUCCCAGCAAUGACCGGAGGCAGCUCCGAGGUCUAGCAGCUCCGUCUUUGAUUUUGCUCUUUCUGGUAUUUAGAAAGAAAAAUAAAAAAGUAUCUGUGUUUGGGCUUGGUGCUGGGUUGUGGCCCUCGUCUGACGAUAACUCUGCAGCUGUAACUUCUGGAACACGUGUGGGUUCUGCUGGCUCCGGGUCGCCAUCCUGCUUGUCUUUCUCCCGGCGCUCUGUGGGCGCUCCUUUCAUCUGUCCUGCACGAUCGAUGCUUUUUACAGUGUGUCUGAAACAGGCCUGGCAGCCCUUGCUAUCAGCAUGUCACGAACAUCAUGCUUCCUCUUGGCUCCAUUUUGACAUUCAAUCCUUAAGCUUCUAGAAGUUGCCUGGGUAUAGAGCAAGAGGUAAGAAUCUAACUUGGUUGUUUCAUAAUAGCUGGUUUCCUUAGCGCCGUGAAUCACAGCUAACUAAUGAUAGUUUCUCUGGUCUCCUUGCCUGGAGUUGCCUCUCCCUAGGCUAUCCCAGUGCCUUUCCCAAUUUUGUGCGUUUGAAUUACGUCAUGAUUCAGGUUCCUGCUUUGUGUGUGCGCGUGCGCUUCUCCCAGGAAGUUUGUGCUACACAGAAAGCGGUAUCAGUGCUGACGUGCUCAGUGUCAGCACGCAGCUUGUUAGCUCACAGGCAGCGGAGGGACAUCCCAGGUGUGUUCAGGGUCCCGGUGCACUCCUGCCUCGACAGAUGAAGGUCAGUCACCAUUGCCACCCAGAUCGCUUGGGAAACUCGGUAGAGAGGGACUUGGAGCAGGCGCAGACGUUUUUAAUAAGGCGGGAACCAAGGCCUCUUCCUGUAGGUUUUGUACAUUUGUGAAAUUUGUUCCUUGAAAAGGCUUGUUUUGGCCUGUGGCUGGAUGUGGGUUUCUGUCAAAAGUGUCUCACGGUAGGUAACUCAUGAAAAGACGUGUCACCGCACUCUGCCCUGUAGCUGUAGACACUGGCUUCACUAGUAGGGUGGGCCGUCGGGAAGGCAAACAGAGUGGAUGGACUGAAGAGCACAGGAUUUGUGUCAGGAUGCCAGCUCUCACCCUGGGCCUGUCUCUUGUUUACUUCAUGACCCUCGUGCUGCCUUGUUGCUUGCUGCCCAUGUGUUAGAAGGUUAAUCAUGAUCUCUCGGGCUUGAGUUCGGGCGAGUGAAAUAACACAGUUCUUUCGCACUCUUGACACGGGAUAGGCCUGUCCCCCUGGGUUUUCUAGUCAGGAACAGUCGUCUCUGAUUUUGUUCCCCUGUGGGGCCUUUGUGUCUUCCAUGCAUCUCUCCCGUUUUGUUAUGUUGUAACUACUUAGACGCCAUGAGCAUUAUCGUCAUGUUCCACACAGCCUACCAGUGAGAUUCAUCAACAGACAGCAGAGUCGCACUGGCCCUGGGAGAUGCGUGCCACCCCUGACCCCCCUUCGUGGCGCUUUGAGCGGCCAUUGUUCUGGACUUGGAGUGAUCCGCUUGGGUUCUUUGUGGGGUGGUUGGAUGGUUGGUUUUGUUUAUAGUAUUUUUAAAUAUUUAUGUAUUUCACUGUUCCUUUUUUAAUUUUGGUGAAACUAUGACGUUUUCUUUUAAAGUGUUAGUUUCUGGAAAGUUUGAGCUGAAUAUGUGUCUCAAAAUCUGGCUUGGAGGUGGCAGUCCCGUGGUUGGUGCAUUCAGUACUGUGAGCUGCUGACUCAUUCAUCACUCAAAGGCCUCUGUCUGUUCUUCCUCUCAUCCCCAAGGACUCUGUGCUUUCUGCCCAGUGACCCUGCCUCCUCUCAGUACCUCAUGUAAGUGUAAUGGGACAUGUCUUCCCUCACGUGGCAUAAUAUCAUCAAGGUCCAUCUGAACUGCAGUGAAUUGUAUGGAUCCGUCUUCCUCAUUGUGUCCGAAAACUAUUCCCUUGCAUUGAUUGAGCACAUUUGUCUGUCCGUUCCAUUGGAGGCUGGAAGUGUUUCUGCUUGCCUGGUGCAACCAAAGCUGCUGUGAACAUUCGUGCUCCGUCUCCUUGCGGAUGUGUUUCCGCUGUCUGUGCAUGGGAGGAGAGCGGCUUCCAGAUGACACAGUAGCUUCACACUUAAUUGCUCCGAGGAGCUGCCAACUGCACUUUUACAUCUCUGACGUCUCUGCACUCUCAGCAGCCCUCCCACUCCGUGUCUGGCUCUUGGCCUUUGUAGUGGAUGUAGUUGUGAAGAGGCAGCGGGGGCGAUUCGACGCCAGGAGCAUGCCAUUAGACCCGGCCUGUGCUGAUGUUUCCUUUUUCAAUAAAGAACAGCUUUAUUAGAAAAAUGGAGAUAGCUGUCUGCUAGGUUGUAGAAGGGUCAAGCUCUGUCUUGACGUCCUGGAAGACUUGGGCUCCAUCUGAACAUCCCUCAUUCUUCAUUCUGGAGUUGAGCAAAGACAUCUGGGCUCCACGUGAGACCCUGGAUCCCUGAACUGAGCCUGUUACUGCUAAUCCUUUGAAUGCUGGAGGAUUUCUGUGGCCUCAAGACUGAGCUGUACUGUCACCAGGGUACCCGGUGUUCACCCUGGAGGCGCUGGAGUGCUGCGCCUAGAGGAUGGAUCUGCCUUUCUGCAAAUGACAAACUCCUGAGCAGGCAGGAUGCCGCGUUAACACCCAACACUUCGAGAACAUGUCUUCUUCUGGAGCAGCCGCUCAGUUGGUAUAAGGUUGUAAGUCACCAGGGAAGGUUGGGAUCAGGGUGCUGUUAGUGACAAUCGGGAGGUCUUGUCUGAGCACAACCUUUUCUAGAUGGUUCUUAAGUUUUUGGUUCUUAGGUUUGUUUGUUUUUCAAGGGACAAAAUCUCAUUGUGUUACCCAACUGGUCUCAAGCGAUCUUCCCACUUUAAUCUCCAAGUACCCAGGACCACAGGCUGCCUCUGGCCCAUCUACAUUUCUUUGUUUUUAUUUAUGUAUUUUGAUGUGUGUGUGUUUGUAGGUGUUUGCUUGCAUGCAGUGCCCAUGGAGGCCAGAAGAGGGCAUCAGAUCCCCCAGCCUGUAGUUAGCAAAUGAUUGUAAGCUACCAUGUAGGUGCUGGGAUUUGAACCUGGGUCCCUGGAUGAAUGGUCAGUGAUCUUCCUAGCUAAGCUACUUCACCAACACCACCACUCAAAGGCCUCUCCUCAACAGUGAGGUGGGGUGAAUACAGGGUGAGGCCGAGGGGCACAGUGUCGGGCAGGGGAGGGCUGACCCCCUCUUUGCGACUUCAUCCCAAGGAAUGCACAGCAUACACUGUCCCAUGACACCAGGGUGCUCCUCUCUGGAGGCUCGGUGGCUCUCGGGAAGUCAUUGUUCUAGGGUCACUGGACUAUUCAAUAUUUCCAUGCCAUUGUAAAGUCAUAUUUACAAAGUUUGUUUUCCAAGAAAGUUGCCAUUUCCUGCACGCUAAUGUAGAGGGUUUGUUUUUGGGUUUUGUUAUAAAUAUAAUUUGACAUCCUCAUUAAGAAUGGUUUUUCUUCCGGUUUAAUCCCUCAUUUUUCUUUCUCUCGAAUAGACUUUGAAGACAUCCAGUUUGGCCUUUUCCAAGAAGCUUUAGAUGAAGCAAGCAGCCCUCUCUGGGUUUUGUUUUGAGUUUUGUUUCGGUGCUGGGCGUGAAACCCUGUGCACCCAAGGCACACUCCACUGCUCAGCUCUGUCCCCAGACCUCAGCUACUGCGGAGGGUUAGUUCCACUUGGGUCUCAUUAAUUCUUCUCUCCUGGUCUCUUUGGAUUUUACGUUCUUAUGCAGACUUGCUCUGGCUCUGGCCUUCGGCUACAGGCGAGGCCCUCAGCUGCUGAGAGUAAAGUAUUUCUGAGGAGGCCUCUUGAAACCACUAAGGAGUGAGUGCUCAGCAGGCCCCUGGGGUUUCCAGCAAAGGAAAGUAGUGAACUGUUGGCCAUGGUUUCAGGUUUCACCAGACCCUUCAUCAGCAUCCCUCUGCCCUCCCGAGCAGUGAACACCAACAAGGUGACUGUCUGUCCUCAUCUUCACAGAAACAGGCCUCUGAAGGUGGUGACACAAGCCAGGAAUAAAAGCAACAGUUGCCCUCUAGCUACGGCUCAUAGUGCAGCCAGGAGUGAGUAGAGGCCCCACUAGGCCGAGGCCUGGGAGCCCUCGCCUGGGGCUGCCACAGCUUCAGCCAUGAGGGUGGCAGGUGAGGGCCUGGCUAUGAUCCAUAAGCUUCCAUAUUUAGAGAUGGACAGAUUUGCUCUCUCUGCUUUGGUUUUAGUUCUGCUGUGUGGUUUAAACCUAGCCCUCCAGCUGCCAAGUGAUGGGCAGUUUUCACUUCUCAGAUGCCACAGCUUGUGUGCGGAGCAGUGUGGAGUGAUCUGAGGAAGCAGGGAUGUAGUGUACAGCAUGAGGCUCCCUCUCUUAGUUUGUUUUGGUUUUGCUGUUGUUCUUGGGUAUUCGGUUUUUGAGGCAGGGUCUCACUGUAUAGCCCUGGCUGUCCUGGAACUCACUAUGUAGACCAGGCUGCUUUGUCACAUUACCCUUCCCUGUGUUCUGAGGAUAAAUCUAUGGUUGUCUCCUUGAGCAGUGAAAGGUUUGAGCUGCAUUUCCUGUCACCACUUCAUCUGCUGAUACUAGUCCAUCCACUACAACCCCCAUGUUCGUCACGCACACGCACACUCCCCCCUCCUCUUGAUUGCAGUGACUCAAGUUUUUUUUUUUUUUACCCAGUUGUGGUUGGUGUUAUUUGGGGGUUUUCCAGGUCGUGUUAUGGUCUGCCCGGUUACCUACGCUGAGAGGGUGUGCCCUUUGGAUUCAGGACAUUCCAGGGAGUGGCCUUGUCCCUGUGAGCAGGUGCCAGCAUGUGUCACUCCUAGUGGUGUAGUGACCCCAUUAUUCCCCAGAGCUGGCCUUGGGCCUUCCUGCCCUCUGCUUCCUGGACGGUCCCGGGCCACCAUGAAGGCCGCUGCCCUCUGCCCACCGUUCUCACUGCCUUUUUCACUUCUGCUCAUUGAGAAGCCAUCUCAACCCCCACCUUUUAACCGGUGGUCUUAUUCCCCAUGUUGCUCAAGUCUUGGGCUUGCUGCAGUCACACUGGGGGUCCUGUCACCACCAUGUUGAAUUAACCCUUUGCUCAUCUUACAGGCUGUGUUCUGACUCCCCCAUUUCCGAGGGCUUGUAAGGCCCAAGCUUUAUGAGUGCGUUUCAGGUUGGGACUUAGAUGACCAUCAGCCGCUACAGUGAGUAAGUCUGCUUUUUGCCCAGUGGGGAGCCGAAGGGAGGCUGGGAGAGAAAGAAGGUACCAGCCAGGGGGAGAUGGGGCAGGGAACAGAGGUAGGGGGGUCUGCAGGGGCUGGCCUGCCUGGCAGUCCACGAACGUAUGUGUCUUUGUGUGUGUGUGUGUGUGUGUGUGUGCGCGCGCGCGCGCGCGCUCUUGUGCACGCAGGCUUAUGUGUGUCUGCUGUGUUUGCAGUUGUGUGCAUGUGAGUCUGCCAGUCUACUGUGCAUAACUGUAAAGACACUAGCGCUAGUUUGCUCUGUGUAAAUGUGCACACGUGAGUCUACUGUGCUUGCGUAUGUGUGUAUGUGAGCCUACAGCGUGUUUGCGUAUAUGUGUGAGCCUGCGGCGUGUUUGCAUAGGUAUGAGCCUGUGGUGUGGGUGUGAAGUGGAGCGGAGCUGGCUGCUCAGCUUCCUGGGCGUGACCAGCCUUUCUUCUCAGCCUGGCCUGACCCAGGUGCUCUGGGCAGGUUACAGCCUUCAGUUUCCCACCUGGACCCUGCCGAGGACAUGGGUUCUCAAGCUUCUUGAAACUCACAGAAGGGGAUCCAGGGUCCGCCCCCGAGACCCAGAGGCCUACAGGGUUUACAGGGUGCUCUGGGACCCCCGUGGCUCUCCUCCUGGCACGUGGACGGCAUGCUAGAGAGAGCUGGUGGGCACUCUGCUUCGCACUGACUUCACUUGCCAACCGUGGCAGUGCCCUGGAAGGACUCCGCCGUGACCACAAGCUCAGAAUGAAAGGCAGGUGGCUGGCACCCAGCAGACCCCGACGACGGUGCACUCUGGCUAACUAAGUGCUGAAGGCUCCCUUAAUCCUGAGAUGGGUUUAAUUGUGAGUUCCUGCCUAAAGUUGGAAACCACGAGGAAAAGUAUAAAAGGAAAGUAGCAUCCCUCUUCCCUCUCCUACCCGGCCCCGCCACACAGAGGCCGCCCUCUGGUGGCUUAGAAGCUUUCUGGAAACUUCUACUCUUACAAACGUGUUUCACCUGACCCUGUCUCAGAACAAGUAGGCCAGAACCUGUGAUUCAGCUUUUGGGCCUGAGUUGAUGAUGCACUUCUCAUGCAGGGUGGAGCACUUGUACUGAGGGGCAGGGGGACUUGAGUGCCCCGAGCCUUCUCCAGGGUGUUAGGACAGGCAGCAGCCAUCCUGGGAGGGACACGGAGCCGCCGCAGGUGUUUCUUUUCCUGACCGCGGCCCAUGGCCGCGCUCAGGUUUUGCUUUUCACCUUUGUCUGUGAGAACAUGAGCAGGAAAAAGCAAAA